ACGGAGGGUGCAAGCGUUAUCCGGAUUCACUGGGUUUAAAGGGUGCGUAGGCGGGCAGGUAAGUCAGUGGUGAAAUCCUAGAGCUUAACUCUAGAACUGCCAUUGAUACUAUCUGUCUUGAAUAUUGUGGAGGUAAGCGGAAUAUGUCAUGUAGCGGUGAAAUGCUUAGAUAUGACAUAGAACACCUAUUGCGAAGGCAGCUUACUACGCAUAUAUUGACGCUGAGGCACGAAAGCGUGGGGAUCAAACAGGAUUAGAUACCCUGGUAGUCCACGCCCUAAACGAUGGAUACUCGACAUACGCGAUACACUGUGUGUGUCUGAGCGAAAGCAUUAAGUAUCCCACCUGGGAAGUACGACCGCAAGGUUG
This 369-nucleotide ribosomal RNA is filed under the name uncultured bacterium. Its description in RNAcentral is "bacterial SSU rRNA". It matches the Rfam family "Bacterial small subunit ribosomal RNA", at positions 525 to 896 of the family's 1533-position model. The record is from RNAcentral.